This 253-nucleotide ribosomal RNA is filed under the name uncultured bacterium. Its description in RNAcentral is "partial 16S ribosomal RNA". It matches the Rfam family "Bacterial small subunit ribosomal RNA", at positions 524 to 776 of the family's 1533-position model. The record is from RNAcentral.
UACGUAGGGGGCAAGCGUUGUCCGGAUUUAUUGGGCGGAAAGAGCGUGUAGGCGGCUAGAUAGGUCCGUUGUGAAAACUCGAGGCUCAACCUCGAGAUGUCGAUGGAAACCGUCUGGCUAGAGUCCGGAAGAGGAGAGUGGAAUUCCCGGUGUAGCGGUGAAAUGCGCAGAUAUCGGGAAGAACACCCGUGGCGAAGGCGGCUCUCUGGGACGGUACUGACGCUGAGACGCGAAAGCGUGGGGAGCGAACAGG